CAGUCGCCACGGUAAUACGUAGGGUGCAAGCGUUAAUCGGAAUUACUGGGCGUAAAGCGUGCGCAGGCGGUUUUGUAAGACAGAGGUGAAAUCCCCGGGCUCAACCUGGGAACUGCCUUUGUGACUGCAAGGCUUGAGUGCGGCAGAGGGGGAUGGAAUACCGCGUGUAGCAGUGAAAUGCGUAGAUAUGCGGAGGAACACCGAUGGCGAAGGCAAUCCCCUGGGCCUGCACUGACGCUCAUGCACGAAAGCGUGGGGAGCAAACAGGAUUAGAUACCCGGGUAGUCCCUGUCUCUUAUAC
RNAcentral lists this ribosomal RNA (301 nucleotides) under uncultured bacterium. RNAcentral describes it as "partial 16S ribosomal RNA". It matches the Rfam family "Bacterial small subunit ribosomal RNA", at positions 509 to 807 of the family's 1533-position model. The record is from RNAcentral.